Molecule: ribosomal RNA, 232 nt
Filed under: uncultured bacterium
Lineage: Bacteria
Description: partial 16S ribosomal RNA
Rfam family: Bacterial small subunit ribosomal RNA
Source: RNAcentral
CGGACGGGUGAGUAAUGUAUGGGGAUCUGCCUGAUGGCGGGGGGUAACUACUGGAAACGGUAGCUAAUACCGCAUAAUGUCUGCGGACCAAAGCGGGGGACCUCCGGGCCUCGCGCCAUCAGAUGAACCCAUAUGGGAUUAGCUUGUAGGUAAGGUAACGGCUUACCUAGGCGACGAUCCCUAGCUGGUCUGAGAGGAUGACCAGCCACACUGGAACUGAGACACGGUCCAG